RNAcentral lists this ribosomal RNA (465 nucleotides) under uncultured Veillonellaceae bacterium. RNAcentral describes it as "bacterial SSU rRNA". It matches the Rfam family "Bacterial small subunit ribosomal RNA", at positions 338 to 795 of the family's 1533-position model. Lineage: Bacteria; Bacillati; Bacillota; Negativicutes; Veillonellales; Veillonellaceae. The record is from RNAcentral.
CCUACGGGAGGCAGCAGUGGGGAAUAUUCCGCAAUGGACGAAAGUCUGACGGAGCAACGCCGCGUGAGUGAUGAAGGUUUUCGGACUGUAAAACUCUGUUGUUUAGGACGAAAGUGCCUGUUGCAAAUAGUUGCAGGUAUUGACGGUACUGAACGAGGAAGCCACGGCUAACUACGUGCCAGCAGCCGCGGUAAUACGUAGGUGGCAAGCGUUGUCCGGAAUUAUUGGGCGUAAAGAGCAUGUAGGUGGAUACUUAAGUCUGUUGUGAAAAUGCGGGGCUCAACCCCGUAUUGCGAUGGAAACUGGGUGUCUUGAGUGCAGGAGAGGAAAGGGGAAUUCCCAGUGUAGCGGUGAAAUGCGUAGAUAUUGGGAGGAACACCAGUGGCGAAGGCGCCUUUCUGGACUGUGUCUGACACUGAGAUGCGAAAGCUAGGGGAGCGAACGGGAUUAGAUACCCCAGUAGUC